CACGUAGGGGGCGAGCGUUUUCCGGAUUCAUUAGGCGUAAAGCGCGUGCAGGCGGCCGCCUAAGCGGGACCUCUAAUCCCGGGGCUCAACCCCGGGCCGGGUCCCGAACUGGGCGGCUCGGGUGCGGUAGAGGCAAGCGGAAUUCCCGGUGUAGCGGUGGAAUGCGCAGAUAUCGGGAAGAACACCGAUGGCGAAGGCAGCUUACUGGGCCGUCGCCGACGCUGAGGCGCGAAAGCUAGGGGAGCGAACA
This 250-nucleotide ribosomal RNA is filed under the name uncultured prokaryote. RNAcentral's name for it is "partial 16S ribosomal RNA". It matches the Rfam family "Bacterial small subunit ribosomal RNA", at positions 524 to 774 of the family's 1533-position model. The record is from RNAcentral.